This is a non-coding RNA of Podarcis lilfordi (Lilford's wall lizard), 90 nucleotides long. Lineage: Eukaryota; Metazoa; Chordata; Lepidosauria; Squamata; Lacertidae. The record is from the annotation of a GenBank genome assembly.
GUCUCUUCCAACUCUAUGAUUCUAUGAUUCAAAGCACUAAGAUUUUAGGGUACAGUAAUAGAAUCGUGGAAUUGUAGAGUUGGAAGGGAC